ACUUAGGUAGUUUAUAAAUAAAAUUUUGAUUUGUGGUGUCAAUGAAGCAUUAGUUUGUCUUAAGUA
RNAcentral lists this transfer RNA (66 nucleotides) under unidentified. RNAcentral describes it as "Cteniopinus hypocrita tRNA-His". The record is from RNAcentral.